Molecule: long non-coding RNA, 1102 nt
Organism: Gallus gallus (chicken)
Lineage: Eukaryota; Metazoa; Chordata; Aves; Galliformes; Phasianidae
Source: Ensembl
GGGUGAUGUUUGACAAAAGCAUUCAGUAAUGCUUGAUAUUUUAACGACUGCUGCUGCUCCCUCCUUGGCCCUUGCCCCUUUGAGCGUGCGAUGCUGCCGCUUUGCACAAAUGGGGCUUCCAUGGGAAAGAGUGGGAAAAUCCCAAAGCUCACACACGUUCCUGGCUUCCUUUACAUCCCUGCUCUCCACAGAUGAAGCAAAACAAAACAAAACAAAGGAGCCACGGUGGCUGGGGCUGCUUGUAAUUUUAACGAGGUUGCACCUUCAAAGGAGCAUCCGUUGCUGCGCCGCGGAGAGCCGCACGCGCUGCUCAGAAGCGCCUCAGCAGAAGCAGCCUCUGAACCUCUGACAGCUUUCACUGCACAUGGCAGAGAUCAGCUGAAAAGAUGAACGAGCCAUCUUCAAAGCCAGAAUUGCUCAGGAAGCAUUUGCUCUUGCCUUAUUACUGGAGAACUCUCCGGGUCAGAUACUUUUAUUGGGAGAGAACUUUCAUUGCUUUGGCUGUUUUGUUCCUGCUUCUGGACGUGCCAGUCUAAUGACGUGACUGAUGUCUCCCACCUUGAUAGACGUCAAUAAAAAUAGAUGGAGGAGGACUCAGGGAUGCCUGAGAUUGGUCUUGAAAAUGGAGGCUCAAGCUGCUCCCUGCAUCACAGAAUGAAGACAGCACUGCAGUGGGUGCAAAGUGUGUUCCCUCUCUCUCACUGCCUACAUGGAGAAGCAUAGGCCCACUGUGGUUGCUGAAUGAUGGCAAGGUGCUGCCUGGCAUUGUUGGAGUUUAUCUUUCCCAGAUUUUGUGUAUGGACUCUUGCAGCAUUUUUUCAUUUCUCUUCCCAUCCUCGCUCUUUCCCUUUGAGUCAAAUGGACAAUUAAAUGGAAAUUUAUUCUGUAAACACAACCCUGUUAGGCCUGAAGCCUGGGGGAUCAGAGCAGGCUAUAAUUACAGAGGGACACCUUUAGGUGUGAACUGCUGUGUGCUGAAAUAGCAGAUAGCAGCCCUUAGCAAGCUGGGUGAGCAGGUUCCUAAUGCUGGGGAUCAGAAAUGGGCCGGGUCCUCUUAUCACAGAAGCCCAUUUAGGAGACAAGCAUUGCACAUCUGUUGCUU